GGUCCCCACUAAGGCAGCGUUAAAACACUAUGCCAACGUGGGGGAAGGCUCAUCUCACGAUCUUGCUGUUCCUUCUACUUCCGGUGCCGGGCAUCGGUCUGCUCGAGUUAGGCACACUGCGCUGCCGCUCGGGGCCGAUGUUACGGGGACGA
Molecule: non-coding RNA, 152 nt
Filed under: unclassified sequences
Description: cold-seep-1 RNA
Rfam family: cold-seep-1 RNA
About the family: Environmental, Norwegian cold seep. Environment (Cold seep)
Source: Rfam by way of RNAcentral